Triticum aestivum (bread wheat) is the source of this 1218-nucleotide long non-coding RNA. RefSeq lists it as uncharacterized. The record is from RefSeq and is a predicted model, not a curated record. Lineage: Eukaryota; Viridiplantae; Streptophyta; Magnoliopsida; Poales; Poaceae. The transcript is spliced from 5 exons.
AUUACCCGCUGGCGCCACAGUGCCCAACUGCCCACCCUAGCUUUACCUCUGCCUAACGCCGCCGCCGUCGCCGCCUCCCAGCGUGCACCUUCCUCAGCGCCGCCGCCCGUGUCCUCCAUUAGCGCCACCGCCCCUCGACGCUCGCCUGCUCCACCGCCUUCACCUUUCUACUCGACCUUGCCGGCCACCCAACAGCUCCUAAAGCCACCGCCCAGUGGAGCCACCCCCGCCGCCGCCGCCGCCUUGCCCUUACGGUGGCCACCUAUUCGCCGGAAUAAUUAGUGGUGAGAAUGGGACACUCAAUCGCGUCUUCCAGUAUGUCUGCCCUCCGAUCUGGCGCACGGUGAGCUCGGGACGAACCCUAGCUUCAUGGCUCCCCUUGCCUGCCGGGGUUCCUCCACCUUGCUACUCCGAUGAGUGGUGUUCGGUCUCAGCUCCAUUCCGGGCCGCCCAACCGGCUGUGCAGCGACAGUUUGACAAGCGUAUCCACAUUCCUUUACCUGACUCGCAAGCAAUGCAGCAUAGGUUUAAGGUCCAUCUAGUGGAUACAGCACACAGCUGAUCGGAAAGUGACUUUGAGGUCUUGGGUUGUCGGACAGAUGGAUUUUCUGGUUCCGUCAUAAAGAAGUUCUGUUCAGAAAGGUUGUCAUGAUCCUUUGCAAUCCAUUCAGGUGAAAGAUGUGUUGUUUGAGCCCUCGCGCAAGACACAGGAUGUAAUGUUCUUCUUUUAGACUGAUGGUGGCACUGUCCAGACUACGAUCCAGGAGCUUGCAUCCAAAGGCGCCUGAUCGCAUCACAGAUUCUUUCACCCCUGAUCCCAGUGACUGAUGUCAAGAAAGUCCUCGCUGGCAGAGGCCGGCCGUUGGCAAGACAGACCUGGAGGUACACGAGAAGUUCAGGUGACAGUUCAGCAAGGAGGGUUGAUUCGCUGCAAGUACUCUCUGAACUCAAUAAGUGUAUUAAAGAGAACGAUUCUUAAGGUGGGGAGUCCUUGUGGUGUAGCUUGAUAGUAGUUGUUUUCAGUUUCUCUGAUUUUCCUUUGUGUAACUUUUGUUGUGCCCUUAGGUCAUAAUUAGUUUGGCAUCUAAAACUACUUUUUACUCUUUUCGACGGCGUGUGUUAACGUCAGUUUUGUGCCGGGCUACCUGCAACGAGACCUGAAUCAUGUAAGCUCCACUUGACAGCUGAAUUAUACGUUGUCCUGUGGAUUCAGUGGUA